RNAcentral lists this transfer RNA (63 nucleotides) under Vibidia duodecimguttata (twelve-spotted ladybird beetle). RNAcentral describes it as "tRNA-Arg". Lineage: Eukaryota; Metazoa; Arthropoda; Insecta; Coleoptera; Coccinellidae. RNAcentral also lists the same sequence under 1 other name. The record is from RNAcentral.
AAAUAAGAAGCAAUUAAUGCAUUUAGUUUCGACCUAAAAAUUUGAUAUAAUUAUCCUUAUUUA